RNAcentral lists this ribosomal RNA (849 nucleotides) under uncultured Bacillota bacterium. Its description in RNAcentral is "bacterial SSU rRNA". It matches the Rfam family "Bacterial small subunit ribosomal RNA", at positions 70 to 896 of the family's 1533-position model. Lineage: Bacteria; Bacillati; Bacillota. The record is from RNAcentral.
AAAGCUCCCUUCGGGGAGCAAGUAGAGUGGCGCACGGGUGAGUAACACGUAGGUAAUCUACCUUUGGAUGGGGAAUAACAACCGGAAACGGUUGCUAAUACCGCAUAAUGCAGCGGCACCUAAUGGUGACAGUUGUUAAAGCGGGGGAUCGCAAGACCUCGCGUCUGAAGAGGAGCCUGCGGCAGAUUAGCUAGUUGGUAAGGUAACGGCUUACCAAGGCGAUGAUCUGUAGCCGGCCUGAGAGGGCGGUCGGCCACACUGACACUGACAUACGGGUCAGACUCCUACGGGAGGCAGCAGUCGGGAAUUUUGGGCAAUGGGCGAAAGCCUGACCCAGCAACGCCGCGUGAAGGAUGAAAUCCCUCGGGAUGUAAACUUCGCAAGAACGGGAAGAAUAAGUAAGGGUUAAUAUCUCUUACGAUGACGGUACUGUUUGUAAGCUCCGGCUAACUCCGUGCCAGCAGCCGCGGUAAUACGGGGGGAGCAAGCGUUGUUCGGACUUACUGGGCGUAAAGGGCGCGUAGGCGGCCACCGCAAGUCGACUGUGAAAUCUCCGGGCUUAACCCGGAAAGGUCAGCCGAUACUGCGGGGCUAGAGUGCAGAAGGGGCAACUGGAAUUCUCGGUGUAGCGGUGAAAUGCGUAGAUAUCGAGAGGAACACCUGCGGCGAAGGCGGGUUGCUGGGCUGACACUGACGCUGAGGCGCGAAAGCUAGGGGAGCGAACGGGAUUAGAUACCCCGGUAGUCCUAGCCUUAAACGAUGAAUGCUUGGUGUCUGGGGUUUUAUAGUCCCCGGGUGCCGUCGCUAACGCUUUAAGCAUUCCGCCUGGGGAGUACGGUCGCAAGACUG